UUCGGUGCGCGCGGAUGAAAAGGGAAUGCCGUGCGAUUCGGCAACAGUUCCCGCUGCUGUAAGCCGCAGCAAACGCUCCGAUACUCCUCAGCCACUGCCCCGCACCGGGGCGGGAAGGCAUCGGAGCGGCGGCAAGUCAGAAGACCUGCCGGUGCA
RNAcentral lists this non-coding RNA (156 nucleotides) under uncultured Alistipes sp. The record is from RNAcentral. Lineage: Bacteria; Pseudomonadati; Bacteroidota; Bacteroidia; Bacteroidales; Rikenellaceae.